UGUUUGUUUGUUGUACAGGUCCUGGGCAUC
RNAcentral lists this non-coding RNA (30 nucleotides) under Mus musculus (house mouse). The record is from RNAcentral. Lineage: Eukaryota; Metazoa; Chordata; Mammalia; Rodentia; Muridae.